This 253-nucleotide ribosomal RNA is filed under the name uncultured bacterium. RNAcentral describes it as "partial 16S ribosomal RNA". It matches the Rfam family "Bacterial small subunit ribosomal RNA", at positions 524 to 776 of the family's 1533-position model. The record is from RNAcentral.
UACGUAGGGGGCAAGCGUUGUCCGGAAUCAUUGGGCGUAAAGAGCGUGUAGGCGGCCCGGUAAGUCCGCUGUGAAAGUCCAGGGCUCAACCCUGGGAUGCCGGUGGAUACUGUCGGGCUCGAGUCCGGAAGAGGCGAGUGGAGUUCCUGGUGUAGCGGUGGAAUGCGCAGAUAUCAGGAGGAACACCAAUAGCGAAGGCAGCUUGCUGGGACGGUACUGACGCUAAGGCGCGAAAGCGUGGGGAGCAAACAGG